This 451-nucleotide ribosomal RNA is filed under the name uncultured bacterium. Its description in RNAcentral is "partial 16S ribosomal RNA". It matches the Rfam family "Bacterial small subunit ribosomal RNA", at positions 354 to 796 of the family's 1533-position model. The record is from RNAcentral.
GUGGGGAAUAUUGGACAAUGGGGGGAACCCUGAUCCAGCCAUGCCGCGUGUGUGAAGAAGGCCUUUUGGUUGUAAAGCACUUUAAGCGAGGAGGAGGCUACCGAGAUUAAUACUCUUGGAUAGUGGACGUUACUCGCAGAAUAAGCACCGGCUAACUCUGUGCCAGCAGCCGCGGUAAUACAGAGGGUGCAAGCGUUAAUCGGAUUUACUGGGCGUAAAGCGCGCGUAGGUGGCCAAUUAAGUCAAAUGUGAAAUCCCCGAGCUUAACUUGGGAAUUGCAUUCGAUACUGGUUGGCUAGAGUAUAGGAGAGGAUGGUAGAAUUCCAGGUGUAGCGGUGAAAUGCGUAGAGAUCUGGAGGAAUACCGAUGGCGAAGGCAGCCAUCUGGCCUAAUACUGACACUGAGGUGCGAAAGCAUGGGGAGCAAACAGGAUUAGAAACCCGUGUAGUCC